AGAGUUUGAUCAUGGCUCAGAGUGAUCGCUGGCGGCGUGCUUAACACAUGCAAGUCGAGCGAAUCUUAGCAGCACACCGCUAGGGUUAGCGGCAGACGGGUGAGUAAUACUUGGGCAAUCUGCCCUCCAGUGGGGGACAACCUGCCGAAAGGCGGGCUAAUACCCCAUAAGACCACAGGGAUGCAUAUUCUGGGGGUCAA
RNAcentral lists this ribosomal RNA (200 nucleotides) under uncultured bacterium. Its description in RNAcentral is "partial 16S ribosomal RNA". It matches the Rfam family "Bacterial small subunit ribosomal RNA", at positions 8 to 204 of the family's 1533-position model. The record is from RNAcentral.